AACACAAUGGAGAUGCGUCCUGACAAAGGAGUCAUACCGGGAUCGCAUUUUCAGUCGCGACUUGGUAGGGCAUGCUUCACGAUGGAAUGUAGGUGCAUUCUCGCGCUUGCCUCCUCGUACAAUCGGUCAUACCGGUCCAUUCUGUCGCUGACCAACGUACAAUGACAAGAGCUAGAUGGCAAACCGCUGACCUUCCCAACUAGCUCAAACCGGCCGGCAAGCCGUUUCCUCUUCUUCCCGUUCAUCACGACCUAUCUCCAAGCCAAGAUUCAGGGGAACGCAGAGUGGGCUGAGAAGAUUGAGACGAGCACUGCAUACGACCUAUGGCCCUAAUCAGGACCAGGGGGUUACCUGGAGAGGUACACUCUCUAAUCCAUUGGGCGGAAUAUAUCCGGAUUUGACCUUCCGGCUUCCUUGUAUGAGGGGUUGAUGUCCAAAGCUGAGAGCCCAGCGAAGGACCCGGAUUAUGACACUGUUCUAUCGAUGCGUCUUCGUGAGGUAUUGGCUAGUGGGAUGAAAGGCCUAGGUAUUCAGAAUAACGAAAAGUUUGGAAAUGAGCUGAGAUUGGUGAACGGGGCGAGGGAAUUGGAGUAAGGAAGCAUGAUUCUGCUCAUGACUGAGUGGUGCAUUUUGACUUUGUUAGCCGAAGUUUGGGGAUGCUCAUGUCGAUCUAUGGAUCAUUUAAUUAGGAAAUUGAAGUGUGAAAUUGUCGUGCAGAUGUUACUGCAAAGAACCAGGGUAACU
RNAcentral lists this small RNA (744 nucleotides) under Histoplasma capsulatum. Its description in RNAcentral is "hypothetical RNA". Lineage: Eukaryota; Fungi; Ascomycota; Eurotiomycetes; Onygenales; Ajellomycetaceae. RNAcentral also lists the same sequence under 1 other name. The record is from RNAcentral.